GAGUAACCUGCCCUUAACUCUGGGAUAAGCCUGGGAAACUGGGUCUAAUACCGGAUAGGAGCGUCCACCGCAUGGUGGGUGUUGGAAAGAUUUAUCGGUUUUGGAUGGACUCGUGGCGUAUCAGCUUGUUGGUGAGGUAAUGGCUCACCAAGGCGACGACGGGUAGCCGGCCUGAGAGGGUGACCGGCCACACUGGGACUGAGACACGGCCCAGACUCCUACGGGAGGCAGCAGUGGGGAAUAUUGCACAAUGGGCGAAAGCCUGAUGCAGCGACGCCGCGUGAGGGAUGACGGCCUUCGGGUUGUAAACCUCUUUCAGUAGGGAAGAAGCGAAAGUGACGGUACCUGCAGAAGAAGCACCGGCUAACUACGUGCCAGCAGCCGCGGUAAUACGUAGGGUGCGAGCGUUAUCCGGAAUUAUUGGGCGUAAAGAGCUCGUAGGCGUUUUGUCGCGUCUGUCGUGAAAGUCCGGGGCUUAACCCCGGAUCUGCGGUGGGUACGGGCAGACUAGAGUGCAGUAGGGGAGACUGGAAUUCCUGGUGUAGCGGUGGAAUGCGCAGAUAUCAGGAGGAACACCGAUGGCGAAGGCAGGUCUCUGGGCUGUAACUGACGCUGAGGAGCGAAAGCAUGGGGAGCGAACAGGAUUAGAUACCCU
Molecule: ribosomal RNA, 655 nt
Filed under: Micrococcus sp.
Lineage: Bacteria; Bacillati; Actinomycetota; Actinomycetes; Micrococcales; Micrococcaceae
Description: bacterial SSU rRNA
Rfam family: Bacterial small subunit ribosomal RNA
Source: RNAcentral